GUGUAUGCUUUUCCUAAAGAUUAAGCCAUGCAUGCUCGAAUAUGAGGUGACAAGUCUCUCUGAAUCUGCGAACGGCUCCGCACACCAGUUGUAAUACAUUGCGCUACCGGUCUUUGCCGACGGUCCUCCGGACAACGGGCACUGACACACAUCAUCUAGUUGGAUAUCCCUGGUAAUUCUGGGGCUAAUACAUGACACUAAUCCGAGCCUUAUCGCCUGUCCUCGUCAGGAAACUGUACUUGGGUCGGGUAAGGUUGCGUGUGAACAACCAAACAAAUGAAGCCUGGGUUUCCCAGUUCACGAUAGAGCACACGUUUAAUACCUGCGCGUUGCUUCGCGGCUUCACCAGGCGUUGUUCGGAUAACGGCGGCUGCCUUUCCGGGUUUUACCUCUUCAGGCGACCUGGGGGUACUACUGCGAGGGCGGGGAUUCACGGCCGUAUUCGCUUUGAAGACGGCGUCCUGGGCAGGUGUGCGCUUCGGCUUCUGACCUAUCAACUAGAAUGCGAUGUAACGGAUUGCAAUGGUAGCAACGGGUACAGAGGAUUAGGGUUCGAUCCUGGAGAGUGGGCCUGAGAGAUUGCUCCUACUUCUAAGGAAGGCAGCAGGCGCGCAAAGUUCCCCUUGGGUCUCGGCCUGAGGGCGUUAGGGGACAUAUGAAUGAGCGUCUUAAUGGCGCUCAAUUCAAAUGGGUCUGUCGUAAACUGACUCUCGAGUAACAAUUGGAGGACAAGUCUGGUGCCAGCACCCGCGGUAAUUCCAGCUCCAAUAGCAUACGUUAAAGUUGUUGCGGUUAAAACGCUCGUAGUCGCGGUCGGAUUGUGCGGAGUCAUUGUCCUGUCUCGUAUUAGCGUGUUGUGCGUGCUUACCCCUCGGGUGCCGUGCGGCUGUUAGUGCGGGGCGCAGUGCGAUGGCGGGUCCAACCAAAGUGCCCAAGCAACGUAACCGAUUCGUCGGGUUACAAGGAUUCGGACCAACACGGGUUUUUUGCGGGCUUUGCGCGGUCUCCGUGCUCGGUCAGCUUGGGCUUGUGCCGUUUCCCUGUGCUUGCGUACCUCUUCACCAUGAUUAAACCGUAGUGUUCGAAGCGAGACAAUACGUCCCUUGAACGGCGCAGCAUGGUAUGAGGAUAGCUGAUCAUUGCUGGGUAGCUGCAGUAUGCGGACCUCGUUGUUCGUGUUACGGGUUAUUCAUUUCUCCACAUUCCCCGGGUUUUGCGGAGCAUUGGUCGGUGCACUUAAAGGGUUGUCUUCAGGGGGGCCGAAUUGUUGGGCGAGUGGUGAAAUACGUUGACCCCAGCAAGUCGACCAAAGGCGAAAGCAGCUCUCCGGACCCUUCCCGUUGAUCAAGAGCGAAAGUUAAGGGCGCGAAGACGAUCAGAUACCGUCGUAGUCUUAACUAUAAAUGAUACUGGCCAGGUAUAGGGCAAUGUCCAUACCGACUCCCUCUGUGUCUCUGGUGAAAAUAUUGAGCCUUUGAGUUCCGGGGGGAGUAUGGUCGCAAGUCUGAAACUUAAAGGAAUUGAC
Molecule: ribosomal RNA, 1525 nt
Filed under: Stemonitis fusca
Lineage: Eukaryota; Evosea; Eumycetozoa; Stemonitida; Stemonitidae
Description: bacterial SSU rRNA
Rfam family: Eukaryotic small subunit ribosomal RNA
Source: RNAcentral